CGAAGAGCCUGGUGUGCUCGAGUUCUCUGCUCGUUUUUCCUUGGCUCCCGGAAAGCUGGUGUGCUACGUAAGCAGGGCUGGGGCAGGGAUCUCCUAAGAUUGAUGAGGGUUUUGUUUUACAUUGUGGUUUUUUGCAGUGAGCUCUCACCUCGGAGGCUCUAUUUGAGAGUACGCGCAGAGCAAGGGACUGCUCCUGCCUGGGAGAGGGACAUGGGCAGAGGAUGGAAAGGAUGGAGAGAAGACACAAGGAUGGCACCAGGGACAUCCUCAGCUGUUACUUAGCCAGACCUAAAGCCAGAAGCAGAAGGAAACAGGCGAGCGCUUUCCAAGCCACAUGCUCUGCGUGCAGAUCAAAGCAAAACCUCCCCCCUCCUUCACAGGGGGUUGAUUUGACGUGGUUCUCCAGCUGUGAGCUGCUGUCGAGAGGUGCUCAGGACCAGAGCGGGGCUGUGUUUGGUGCUCUGACUGAUGGGCAACACGGCUGCAAAACCCCAGCCCCGCCGUGACCCAGCGCGUGGGUUUUGGAUAGGGCAGAAGCUCAGAGCAGGUGGU
Molecule: long non-coding RNA, 552 nt
Filed under: Gallus gallus (chicken)
Lineage: Eukaryota; Metazoa; Chordata; Aves; Galliformes; Phasianidae
Description: lncRNA (ENSGALG00010020358.1)
Source: RNAcentral